AUGAACACAGAACAAAAUAAAAUAUUUAAAAAAGAAAAUAUGACGAUAAACAAUGGCUAUGAAAAAAAUAAUAACAAUAAAUACGAAGCUAAAAAUGACAAACAAUUAGACACAAUCAAUUCCAAUGAUAACAAAAUAAACGAAAAGAAUUAUUUUAAUGCUUUAAGUAAAAAUAAUGACGUACAAAAUUUUAAUUAUAUAAACAGAUAUUGCUUUCCAUAUGUACCUAAGUUCAAUAAUAACAUAAAUAAAAACUAUGACAAUAUAAAUAUUAGUCAUAACUACAAUACUAGACAUGAUGACAGUACUAUCCAUGGUGAAAUAUACAGUAACUAUAACAACAAUACUUAUAAUACAACAGACUCUAACUUCAAGUAUGGUUUUAAGUACAAUAAAAAACAUGACAUAAUUAACAAAAAUAAUAAAAAUAAUUUCAGUUAUUAUAACGAAAAUAAACUACCUUUUAAUUAUAAAUAUAGUUAUACAAAUAAUUACAAAAUAAAUGGUAUAAAUGAACAUAACAAUCUUAACAAUAUAAAUAAACAAUUUAAUACUAAUUACAAUCAUAAUUUUAUUAACACAAAUUAUUUUAACCCAAUGGAUUAUAGUACAAGUAGUAGUAUGGGGAAUAAUUACAUACAUACAAACAAUAUUGGUUAUAAUAAUAAUAUAUACUAUAAUAAUAUCGGUAGUUAUAACAAAAACAUAAGUAAUAUGGUUAACAACGUAACUGUAAACAUGAACAACAAUUCAUCAAACUAUCUUUCGAAAGAUGUUUAUGCUAUUAACAAUCAAAAUAAUAACAAUCAAAAUAAUAACAAUCAAAAUAAUAACAAUCAAAAUAGUAACUAUGAUAAAAUUCAUAUAAGUAACAAUGUUAUUGGUGCUGCUAAUCUUACCAAUACUAAUCGGCAUAAUAGUACAUACUUUAAUAAUCGAACACUUAUGCCCAAUCCUACAAUGUACCCAAUAAACAUAUAUACUAACAAGUCAUAUAAUGUGAAUAAAAAAAAAAUGCAUUACAUUCAUAACAAUAAUAACGAUCAUAUAAAUGGACCACCAACAUGUGAUAACAGUAGCACAACAAUAUAUAAUAAGAGUAAC
Molecule: long non-coding RNA, 1104 nt
Organism: Piliocolobus tephrosceles (Ugandan red Colobus)
Lineage: Eukaryota; Metazoa; Chordata; Mammalia; Primates; Cercopithecidae
Source: Ensembl